RNAcentral lists this transfer RNA (916 nucleotides) under uncultured cyanobacterium. Its description in RNAcentral is "partial contains 16S ribosomal RNA and 16S-23S ribosomal RNA intergenic spacer". The record is from RNAcentral. Lineage: Bacteria; Bacillati; Cyanobacteriota.
UGGAUCACCUCCUAACAGGGAUACAAUAACUAAUCGUGAUGUCUGAGUAAUUUAUUCUCAGGCCAUGAUUCUGUCAUCUCUAAGGUCGAUCGGUACCUCAAUUUGAGAAGCAGUGAAGGGUUGGGCAACCAACCUGGAGACUGGUGAAUCAAUUUCAGUUCCUAAACUUUGUCUAGGUCACCCCAAAGCGGGUUACACUCCUGGGCCAUUAGCUCAGGUGGUUAGAGCGCACCCCUGAUAAGGGUGAGGUCCCUGGUUCAAGUCCAGGAUGGCCCAUUCGCGUUUGGGGGUUUAGCUCAGUUGGUAGAGCGCCUGCUUUGCAAGCAGGAUGUCAGCGGUUCGAGUCCGCUAACCUCCAUCCAAUGUUUGCUCAGCCUUCAAGCCAAACCAGUUAUGCCAUUGCAUAGAAACUAAGUGUGCCGCAGAGCACUAUAGCAGGGAACUACAGCAUGGCAGCGUAGCAGGGGAGUGCAGCCGUGUAGGUGAUCUGGAAAAUUUGCUGUUGAUUUCAGCUUCUUUCCAUCGAUAGGAUGGAAGGACGCUGGAUUCAUAAUUGCCCCUUAAUUGGGACAGUGUGUAUUUCAGCAGAACCUUGACAACUGUAUAGGAAAGUCUGGAAAUAAAGCAUCUCAUGGAUGCUUGAUUUUUAGCCCGAUCGCUCGUUCAGCAAUGGACUAGUCUUGGGAGAAGAAUCAAGAAAAUUCUAUUGAGUUUUAAGAGCCGAGAGCUUUCAGUUUUCUUACCCGUCCGCCGAGGACAAGUGAGUUUGAUCCUGGCAUUCAAACCGCAUUGGUUUCCAUAAGUAAUUAUGGAGGCUGGUGGAGGUGAAUCCAACGAGAAYCGGCCUCAACAGCCGCGCGUAGCUCGAGAAAUCGAAGCUGCCAAGAACUGSAAGUAUAAMUUGGUCAAGCUACAA